Molecule: ribosomal RNA, 402 nt
Filed under: uncultured bacterium
Lineage: Bacteria
Description: bacterial SSU rRNA
Rfam family: Bacterial small subunit ribosomal RNA
Source: RNAcentral
AGCGAACGCUGGCGGCGUGCCUAACACAUGCAAGUCGAACGCGAAAGGGGGGCGAACUCCCGGUACGCGUGGCGCACGGGUGAGUAACACGUGGGUAAUCUGCCCUCGAGUGGGGAAUAACCUCGCGAAAGCGGGGCUAAUACCGCAUAACAUCUCUUGAUCCUCGGAUCGAGAGCUCAAAGGUGACCUCUACUUGUAAGUUGCCGCUUGAGGAGGAGCCCGCGUCCCAUUAGCAGUUGGUAGGGUAACGGCCUACCAAGGCUACGAUGGGUAGCCGGCCUGAGAGGGUGACCGGCCACACUGGAACUGAGACACGGUCCAGACUCCUACGGGAGGCAGCAGUGAGGAAUAUUGCGCAAUGGGCGAAAGCCUGACGCAGCGACGCCGCGUGGAGGAUGAAGG